CUCUUAAGAUUGAGCUGUGAUGGGGAGAGGAACUUGUUCCUCGAGUCGUUGAUUUCACACUGCCGAGAAAAGCCUCUAGCUAGAAUAACGGUGCCCGUACCGCAAACCGACACAGGUAGUCAAGAUGAGAAUUCUAAGGUGAGCGAGCGAACUCUCGUUAAGGAACUCGGCAAAAUGACCCCGUAACUUCGGGAGAAGGGGUGCUCUUUGAGGUUCACGCUUCGAAGAGCCGCAGUGAAUAGGCCCAAGCGACUGUUUAUCAAAAACACAGGUCUCUGCUAAACCGUAAGGUGACGUAUAGGGGCUGACGCCUGCCCGGUGCUGGAAGGUUAAGAGGAGUGGUUAGCGCAAGCGAAGCUACGAAUCGAAGCCCCAGUAAACGGCGGCCGUAACUAUAACGGUCCUAAGGUAGCGAAAUUCCUUGUCGGGUAAGUUCCGACCCGCACGAAAGGCGUAACGAUUUGGGCACUGUCUCAACGAGAGACUCGGUGAAAUCAUAGUACCGGUGAAGAUGCCGGUUACCCGCGACAGGACGGAAAGACCCCGUGGAGCUUUACUGUAGCCUGAUAUUGAAAUUCGGUACAGUUUGUACAGGAUAGGUAGGAGCCUUAGAAGCGUGAGCGCUAGCUUACGUGGAGGCAUUGGUGGGAUACUACCCUAAUUGUAUUGGAUUUCUAACCCGCAGCACUUAUCGUGCUGGGAGACAGUGUCAGGCGGGCAGUUUGACUGGGGCGGUCGCCUCCUAAAGAGUAACGGAGGCGCUCAAAGGUUCCCUCAGAAUGGUUGGAAAUCAUUCAUAGAGUGUAAAGGCAUAAGGGAGCUUGACUGCGAGACCUACAAGUCGAGCAGGGUCGAAAGACGGACUUAGUGAUCCGGUGGUUCCGCAUGGAAGGGCCAUCGCUCAACGGAUAAAAGCUACCCCGGGGAUAACAGGCUUAUCUCCCCCAAGAGUUCACAUCGACGGGGAGGUUUGGCACCUCGAUGUCGGCUCAUCGCAUCCUGGGGCUGUAGUCGGUCCCAAGGGUUGGGCUGUUCGCCCAUUAAAGCGGUACGCGAGCUGGGUUCAGAACGUCGUGAGACAGUUCGGUCCCUAUCCGUCGUGGGCGUAGGAAAUUUGAGAGGAGCUGUCCUUAGUACGAGAGGACCGGGAUGGACAUACCUCUGGUGUACCAGUUGUCGUGCCAACGGCAUAGCUGGGUAGCUAUGUAUGGACGGGAUAAGUGCUGAAAGCAUCUAAGCAUGAAGCCCCCCUCGAGAUGAGAUUUCCCAACUUCGGUUAUAAGAUCCCUCAAAGAUGAUGAGGUGAAUAGGUUCGAGGUGGAAGCGUAGUGAUACGUGGAGCUGACGAAUACUAAUCGAUCGAAGACUUAAUCAA
This 1375-nucleotide ribosomal RNA is filed under the name Staphylococcus pseudintermedius. Its description in RNAcentral is "partial 23S ribosomal RNA". It matches the Rfam family "Bacterial large subunit ribosomal RNA", at positions 1547 to 2925 of the family's 2925-position model. The record is from RNAcentral. Lineage: Bacteria; Bacillati; Bacillota; Bacilli; Caryophanales; Staphylococcaceae.